This 1489-nucleotide ribosomal RNA is filed under the name Lactiplantibacillus plantarum. RNAcentral's name for it is "bacterial SSU rRNA". It matches the Rfam family "Bacterial small subunit ribosomal RNA". The record is from RNAcentral. Lineage: Bacteria; Bacillati; Bacillota; Bacilli; Lactobacillales; Lactobacillaceae.
GACGAACGCUGGCGGCGUGCCUAAUACAUGCAAGUCGAACGAACUCUGGUAUUGAUUGGUGCUUGCAUCAUGAUUUACAUUUGAGUGAGUGGCGAACUGGUGAGUAACACGUGGGAAACCUGCCCAGAAGCGGGGGAUAACACCUGGAAACAGAUGCUAAUACCGCAUAACAACUUGGACCGCAUGGUCCGAGUUUGAAAGAUGGCUUCGGCUAUCACUUUUGGAUGGUCCCGCGGCGUAUUAGCUAGAUGGUGGGGUAACGGCUCACCAUGGCAAUGAUACGUAGCCGACCUGAGAGGGUAAUCGGCCACAUUGGGACUGAGACACGGCCCAAACUCCUACGGGAGGCAGCAGUAGGGAAUCUUCCACAAUGGACGAAAGUCUGAUGGAGCAACGCCGCGUGAGUGAAGAAGGGUUUCGGCUCGUAAAACUCUGUUGUUAAAGAAGAACAUAUCUGAGAGUAACUGUUCAGGUAUUGACGGUAUUUAACCAGAAAGCCACGGCUAACUACGUGCCAGCAGCCGCGGUAAUACGUAGGUGGCAAGCGUUGUCCGGAUUUAUUGGGCGUAAAGCGAGCGCAGGCGGUUUUUUAAGUCUGAUGUGAAAGCCUUCGGCUCAACCGAAGAAGUGCAUCGGAAACUGGGAAACUUGAGUGCAGAAGAGGACAGUGGAACUCCAUGUGUAGCGGUGAAAUGCGUAGAUAUAUGGAAGAACACCAGUGGCGAAGGCGGCUGUCUGGUCUGUAACUGACGCUGAGGCUCGAAAGUAUGGGUAGCAAACAGGAUUAGAUACCCUGGUAGUCCAUACCGUAAACGAUGAAUGCUAAGUGUUGGAGGGUUUCCGCCCUUCAGUGCUGCAGCUAACGCAUUAAGCAUUCCGCCUGGGGAGUACGGCCGCAAGGCUGAAACUCAAAGGAAUUGACGGGGGCCCGCACAAGCGGUGGAGCAUGUGGUUUAAUUCGAAGCUACGCGAAGAACCUUACCAGGUCUUGACAUACUAUGCAAAUCUAAGAGAUUAGACGUUCCCUUCGGGGACAUGGAUACAGGUGGUGCAUGGUUGUCGUCAGCUCGUGUCGUGAGAUGUUGGGUUAAGUCCCGCAACGAGCGCAACCCUUAUUAUCAGUUGCCAGCAUUAAGUUGGGCACUCUGGUGAGACUGCCGGUGACAAACCGGAGGAAGGUGGGGAUGACGUCAAAUCAUCAUGCCCCUUAUGACCUGGGCUACACACGUGCUACAAUGGAUGGUACAACGAGUUGCGAACUCGCGAGAGUAAGCUAAUCUCUUAAAGCCAUUCUCAGUUCGGAUUGUAGGCUGCAACUCGCCUACAUGAAGUCGGAAUCGCUAGUAAUCGCGGAUCAGCAUGCCGCGGUGAAUACGUCCCCGGGCCUUGUACACACCGCCCGUCACACCAUGAGAGUUUGUAACACCCAAAGUCGGUGGGGUAACCUUUUAGGAACCAGCCGCCUAAGGUGGGACAGAUGAUUAGGGUG